CUAGUACUCGUAGCCAGAAGUUGCAUUGGUUUAUCGGUAACGCGCCUGUGGUGAAAUCUCGUUGCUCGCAAAAAGACAGCUACUAUAGUUUCCUAUCCGUUCUAGCGAUAAUUUAAGAAUGUUUUCGUGCGCCUUGCUGUCGUUAUUAAUUAUGGAGAGUGCAGCAUUUCUUUUAUGCUUGAAUGCUUCGGCGUUUUGUAACAUUCUGGCCAUGUAAGGUUUGAGCGAUUAUUGCUAGAAAAAGUUAAGAAUGUACGUGGUGUACUUGAGGAACUUCCACUGGAGAGGCGUGUUUUCUUUCUG
Molecule: unclassified non-coding RNA, 303 nt
Filed under: Bombus terrestris (buff-tailed bumblebee)
Lineage: Eukaryota; Metazoa; Arthropoda; Insecta; Hymenoptera; Apidae
Description: misc RNA ENSBTSG00005026316.1
Source: RNAcentral